RNAcentral lists this ribosomal RNA (118 nucleotides) under Woronichinia naegeliana WA131. Lineage: Bacteria; Bacillati; Cyanobacteriota; Cyanophyceae; Synechococcales; Coelosphaeriaceae. The record is from RNAcentral.
CUUGGUGUGUUUAGCGUCAUGGAACCACUCCGAUCCCAUCCCGAACUCGGCUGUGAAACGUGUCUGCGGCGACGAUACUUUUGGGGUUGCCCUCUGGAACAAUAGCUCCAUGCCAAGA